Molecule: long non-coding RNA, 333 nt
Organism: Oreochromis aureus
Lineage: Eukaryota; Metazoa; Chordata; Actinopteri; Cichliformes; Cichlidae
Source: Ensembl
UCUUCAGCUAAACCAAUCCCAACUGAGUCGGGACGGGCCUCUGUAGAUUUUUGGACAUACAGCGAACAAAUGUGGACAUGAAAGGGGGAAGAGGAGGGCUGUUCUGGAGGCCCGGUCCCCUUGGCCUCGCUCUGGAUCAAGUCCCCAUAAGGCCCCCUGACCCCGUUAGAGGCGCAUGAUGGGCGGCCCUGUCACUUCAAAUGGCUGCCCAGGUCCGGUCUGAGAGUAACCCCUCACUCCAGAGGUUGGCACGAACACCACAUGGUCAUAACAGUCUCCUUGAGAAGGGGACCAGCCUCUUAGGCUGGCAGCCUGGCAGCCUGGCACAAAGAC